UAAUGUAUGGUGAUGCAUCGCGUCGUUAUGUAGAUACAAAGUUAAAGACGAGAGUGCUUCCCAUAGACGUUGGAUAAUGGCGACCUCGUCAUGCGUGAAACGAACUGUACUAAUACCACGUGAAAAUGCAACGCGAUUUAUGGGUCGAGUGGAGCGAAGAGAGCGGCGACAAGGACAUGUGCACAGUCGAACUUUACGCGGACGUACUUUGCCCGCGUUACGAAACAACGCUGUUGUUAUUCCGACAUACCUCGAUGACGGCAAUUUUACGAUUAGAUUUGGAAAUACGACAAAGCAGAGCGAUUCGAAUAUUAGAAGGAAGAAAUUCCCUUUCGCUGCGAGGGAACUGGAAAUGACGAGACACGUCAAACCGCGGACUGUCAGCCAGUCAAACUGCGUGGGCCUCUGCGGGACCGGUCGAGGUAACGGAUAAUGCGGCUUACCGCAAUGUCAAAACUUUUAAAUGAAUACCGACAAGACAGGCAUAGAGCGAUGGAAAAUUGGAGGAUAUUCGAAGGCUGGAUAUCCAACCUAAUGACGCAACGAUAACAAGAUCAAUUUGAAUUUCUUCCGGAUAAUAGAUAAGUUCGAAUAGUAGGUUGGACAUGUAAAUCUCCUCGCUAUCGAUAUUCCAUGAAACGGAUAUUAAGUUAAUCAUCCGACCGACGCUGUUCUAAUCGAAUUUAACCGGACAAUAAUUAUACGAUGUUCCAGAUAAAUUAUUCUAUACAGAUUAUCCGAGCGCGGUUUUGCGCGCGUUAUCGAAUCGAAUCGUUUUUGAUUAACCGUUUAAACGAAAUGCUCUCGGAUCAGGAAGUUUGAUGCAUGAAAUUAAACGCGGAUGUUAACUUGCCAGUUUAUGAAAAGGAAUAUUCAAGCUGAUUAAAAAUAAAUGCAAACUAGACACGAUAUCGCCAGAUAAUGAAAAUGUUACAGAUAACAAAAUGUAAUAAUAAGAAAUUAUACUAACAAUCGAGAAAUAAAUCGGCCAAUC
This 994-nucleotide unclassified non-coding RNA is filed under the name Bombus terrestris (buff-tailed bumblebee). Its description in RNAcentral is "misc RNA ENSBTSG00005036640.1". Lineage: Eukaryota; Metazoa; Arthropoda; Insecta; Hymenoptera; Apidae. The record is from RNAcentral.